This is a long non-coding RNA of Homo sapiens (human), 649 nucleotides long. RefSeq annotates it as long independently transcribed non-coding RNA 2716. The record is from RefSeq and is marked predicted. Lineage: Eukaryota; Metazoa; Chordata; Mammalia; Primates; Hominidae. The transcript is spliced from 2 exons.
GUUCCCGGCCCGCGGACGCUUAGAGAGGGGAGCUUCGGAGUUAUGGGGGGACCCACCCUUCCAUUUAAUAACUGAGAAAGCCACGGGAGGGGACUUGCUGGGCUCACAGCCAGUGAUCCCUGCCCUGUUUCCUUAUGGGGACUGCGGUCAGAAAUGGGGAGUGGGGCAGAAACUGUCACUGUCACGGUCCUGUUUAGAGAGGAAGGUCGGAGAAACCAGUGCCGUGGAAGGCUCUGGGGCGUUGACAGGCGCUGUCCCCAGCUCACCGGCUCUAUGACCCUGGAAGAAUGGAAACUUCGUCAGAGCAGGGACGUGAGGGUGAACUGCUCACCCGGGCACCGCUGGCGACCGGAACCCAGCUCCCUCCGGGCUCCGGGAGAGGCGGCCUCAGCUGUGUGCUGGUGCUGCCCUCCAGCGGCGCUGGGUCCCCAUGGCACCUGGCUUUCUCCUGCUCCCCAGGGGCCUUUUCUUCUCCCGCCCACCUGUCACCAGCCGCCAGGGCAAGUCUCUGUGUGACUCUAGGGUGAAGGUGGAGGGACCUUGCCUCCGAGGAUUCAUCCCACCCGGAUUCCGAUGAGUGAGGGACCCUCUCUGGCACCUGGUGUUUGAAUGGCCAGCCUCACAGUUAAUAAAGACAAGUUUGGUAUCA